Molecule: ribosomal RNA, 427 nt
Filed under: uncultured bacterium
Lineage: Bacteria
Description: partial 16S ribosomal RNA
Rfam family: Bacterial small subunit ribosomal RNA
Source: RNAcentral
UGGGGAAUAUUGCACAAUGGGCGCAAGCCUGAUGCAGCCAUGCCGCGUGUAUGAAGAAGGCCUUCGGGUUGUAAAGUACUUUCAGCGGGGAGGAAGGCGUUGUGGUUAAUAACCACAGCGAUUGACGUUACCCGUAGAAGAAGCACCGGCUAACUCCGUGCCAGCAGCCGCGGUAAUACGGAGGGUGCAAGCGUUAAUCGGAAUUACUGGGCGUAAAGCGCACGCAGGCGGUCUGUUAAGUCAGAUGUGAAAUCCCCGGGCUCAACCUGGGAACUGCAUUUGAAACUGGCAGGCUUGAGUCUCGUAGAGGGGGGUAGAAUUCCAGGUGUAGCGGUGAAAUGCGUAGAGAUCUGGAGGAAUACCGGUGGCGAAGGCGGCCCCCUGGACGAAGACUGACGCUCAAGUGCGAAAGCGUGGGGAGCAAACA